CUGCUAUUCAUUUCCAAUUUCCAGAGCUCUGUAUGAGUUGGCAAAUAUCCAUCAUCCACAAAGGGCCCGGGCUGAUUUUAUCCCCAACAAACUGGUGUCAGAAGUGGGAGCAAUUGGGAACGGAGUUGCAGGUAAGAGGAUCUUUAGCCCCUUGGGGACACAACUUCUGGAAUUUAAGGGAAUCAUGACGGAGUAUUUCUGUCGUGUGUCCUUAGGGGGUUGGGGACCUUUGCCUGCUUCUGCCAUCCUCCCACACAUUGCAUUUCUUGUUUUAAUGGGGUUUUUCACUAUUUACAUUUUUAAAGGGGAUUUACACAGGAUAAUGUCUUUGGUAGACAUGGUAUUUAUAAGUCUUAGGUAGACUUCUAUUACUCCACGGGUUGGAGGAUUGCCUUUGGUAGGCAGUAGCAGUUAUGUGCACAUUUCCUCUUUGGUAAGAGGUUCACCUUUGGC
Molecule: long non-coding RNA, 453 nt
Filed under: Pelobates cultripes (western spadefoot toad)
Lineage: Eukaryota; Metazoa; Chordata; Amphibia; Anura; Pelobatidae
Source: RNAcentral